Molecule: long non-coding RNA, 665 nt
Organism: Salmo salar (Atlantic salmon)
Lineage: Eukaryota; Metazoa; Chordata; Actinopteri; Salmoniformes; Salmonidae
Source: RefSeq, a predicted model, not a curated record
CCUGGCGCUUGGACCACUGUUUUUCUUCUCUUUGCCUUUACUGGGUGAGGGGCUCUCCUUGUCACUGCCAUGGUCAUUGCAUGCAGUGGGGCUGGACUCUUGUGGGGUGCUGGGUACUUUCUCCGGCUGCGGUGUCUUCUUCAGGUUACUCCCCAGUGUAUCCGCUCCUCUGACGGCUGGUGUCGGGUGUGGGUCAUCGUCAGGUCUCUUCAAGGCUGAGGAGGAUGAUGAGCGAGCCAUGGGUAUGUGUAGGUCCGUUACCCCUCCUGUGCCCUCCAACGGCUGCUCAUGCCAUCUGCGGGGUGCCAUCUGGUUCACAGUGGAGUUUAGGCAAAACAGAACACAUUCAUCCUUUGCAGUGAGAAGAGCGAUUCCAGCCCCUGUGUGUGUGUGUGUGUGUGUGUGUGUGUGUGUGUGUGUGUGUGUGUCAUUAAACACACAGAAACCACUACAACCGUCCUCUAGAUGUGUUUGGUUUGAUCAUAAUGGUAUCAUCAGAUACUAAUAAGAAAUCCACAUACGCAGUGUCCUGACUAUGUUUCUCAAACACUUGGUCUGUAAUGCAAGCAUAUGACAUUAUGACAAUUUCUGGUCUACAGUACCAUUGUACUCUCUCCCUUGGGGAUGCUGGGAAAGCAAUGAAUAAACUACACUAAUUAAAUCAA